AUCUCCAAACCGAGCUCUGCCCCCUCUUCUGAGAUAGAGCAUCUUGCAGCCCAGGUUUGCCUCGAAUGACUAUGCAGCCGAGGACAGUCUUGAACUCCUGACUCUCCUGCAUUCACCUUGCAGGGAUUGGAAUUGCAGUCCUAACGACUGUAAGCUUGUCUGCUCUUCACGCCCGCCUGCAAUGGGCAGCGACCAGCACAGCGUGGAAUGGAGGCCGUGACAGCGGAUGUGCAUUGCGAGGUCAAACAAGUCAUGACCCAGAAUGUUCGAAGGUUUACCUUUGCUUGUUUAUGAGACAAGGUCUCCCCCGUAGCCCAGAACAUUCACUCGGAGGCUUCUCCCAGUUUCGGAGGAUACGCUGCUGGCGACCAUCGCAUCGCGGCGGGAAGCUUGGCUGCAGGCAGAUCCCGACGUCUGCAGUGGCGCACAUGCGUGGUGUGUACGAGUUUGGCGGCCGGAGGCCAGCUCUGCCACAUGCUCUCUUCUUCCACCUUAUGGAUUUGGAAAUGGAUCCCAGUCGUCAGGCUCGGUGGCCAGAGUCUUUACCCACUCAGUCAUCUCACAACUGUUUUUUUUUUUUCUUUUAAUUUAUUUUAUGUGUAUGAGUGCUCUAUCUGCAUGUACUCCUGCACACCAGAAGAGGGCAUCAGAUCCCCGUAUAAAUGCUUGUGAGCCACCAUGUGGUUGCUGGGAAUUGAGCUCAGGACCUCUGGAAGAGCAGCCAGUGCUCCUAACCACUGAGCCAGCUCUCCGGCCCGUCCACGAAGAGAUUCUUUUUUUCUUUUUCUUUUUGUAAACAUUUUUUUUUAAUUUUAAUAAUUUAUUCAUUUUACAUCUUGGUUGUAGCCUCCUCCCUCCUCAAGAAGAAAUUCUUGAGAAAAAUAAAAAAAAGCUGUAAAUAAAUAUAACGAA
Molecule: long non-coding RNA, 912 nt
Organism: Meriones unguiculatus (Mongolian gerbil)
Lineage: Eukaryota; Metazoa; Chordata; Mammalia; Rodentia; Muridae
Exons: 4
Source: RefSeq, a predicted model, not a curated record